UCUCUUCUCUUCUGCUCCUCACCUGCUUCUGCUCUUGCAAAAUUUGCUGCAAGGAAACCUCUCAAGACUAAUUAGCAAGAGUGAUGGCUGAUCUGACCGUCAAAAUGAACAUCCCCUAUAUGAGAACUGGAGUCUUUAAUAUGGAUCUCCCCGCAGCCGACCUCAACUUGGAGGCUGAGGUUGGCUUUCUGCUGGUGGUUUACCCAUUUCUCCAGAGAGAAACCACCACCAUGUUUCUCCCUGAUUUUUUAUGACCUCUCUGCUGCCACUGCUAUUUCUGCCCACCUGUGUCCUCUGCUGAUCCCUGAGAAGGCCUACCCAACCCUUCCCUUCCAAUAAACUUUCCUUGCAGUCCCUCA
Long non-coding RNA from Hemicordylus capensis (graceful crag lizard), 359 nucleotides. RefSeq lists it as uncharacterized. The transcript is spliced from 2 exons. Lineage: Eukaryota; Metazoa; Chordata; Lepidosauria; Squamata; Cordylidae. The record is from RefSeq and is a predicted model, not a curated record.